Molecule: non-coding RNA, 1807 nt
Organism: Rattus norvegicus (Norway rat)
Lineage: Eukaryota; Metazoa; Chordata; Mammalia; Rodentia; Muridae
Source: RefSeq, a predicted model, not a curated record
UCAAAGGCAGCCUGGGGAGAAACACUGCCUCUUUCAGGAAGUCUUCUGGGAUUAGCCAAGGUCCUAGUCAGCCUGCCCAACUCAGAUCUCUUCCGUUCUUGCUUCACCUUUGCAAUGAGUCACGUCCCGGUGCUUUGGUUUGUUUGCCUGUUUCUCUUACAAGUGCAGCUCAUGACCUCCCCCCUCCUCCCCGGAGCCAGGGAUUGGAUACAGGGCCUCAUGCACUAGACAAGUACCCUACCGUUGAGCUCCACCCCUCCCCUACCCCCACUCCUUGGUCUAGUUUUAAAAAUAGAAAUCUAGCCUUCUAUUUCUGUAGAAUACAGAAGUGUGGGCAUGAGUGGAGUAGGAAGAGUGUGCCCCUGCUUCGGGCACACCCAGGUUCAAAGCUGGGCUCUGAACUGUGUAGCCAGGUCCACACAAGGGAAAAUGAACCCCACUCUGCAGGAGAACGGGGGUGUCAGAGAGUCAUUGGUCCUAGCCUUGCAGUGUGUUAUGGAUGCGAGCUCUCUUCCUGUCUAACAGUGAGGUGUCCAUGCUUUGGUAAGAACUCAGCUCCUGAACAGAAAGCCGGUCUCCCGGUUGGAUGCAUUCUCCCCUAAGGGCCUUGGGGGGAGGUCUGAAUGGCUCUAAAGCUGAGGUUCUCACCCUUCCAAAUCUGCAACUCUUUAAUAUAUGUUGUGGUGACCCCCCAGCCAUAAAACUAUUGUUUUGCUACUUUAAAGCUGUAAUCUGUUUACCGAUAUCAUCUGAUGUAUAAUGCAUGGUGAUGAUACAUAUGGUAAUAUCAUAAUGUAAAUAUCUGACAUGUGGGAUAUCUAAUAUGUGACCCCUGUGAAAGGAUUAUUCAAUUCCCAACAGGGGUCAGGACCCACAGGUUGAGAACUGCUGUUAAAGGAGUCAGUCUCUGUUGGGAGUUUCUGUAGAAGCUCAGUGAAGAUCAAGUCACAUGACAUCGUGUGGUUACAAGGGACUAUGGCCAAAACCAAGAGAUGGGUGCCAUGUGGUAAAAGCAGAUCGUUGGGCUGGGAAUUAGAACAUUUAGUUUCUUCCUGUCUCCCCUACUCACUGGGAAUCCCCCAAAGGGACCACAUAUUUCCUGACUUUAAAGACUUCCUUCCCUAUAUGGUGCAGGCAAGCCUCUGCCUUCUAGAAGCAGGACAGCCCAGAAGUCUGGAGCCCAGCAUCAGGUUUCCGGCUAGACUCUGACACCUGUUCCUUCCACCGCCUCUGACCGUGGUGUUCACUGAACCAUUCUGAGCCUUCAUUUUUGUCAUCGUCAACCGGGCUUAGGCAUGCUGUGUUCAGAACCAUCAGAAACGCCAUGGGGCUCAGAAACACCAUCGUAAAGAAGCUUAAGAAACUGGACCUACAGCGGAUUUAGGAAAGGUGUUCUGGAAGCCAGCAACUCUCUGUACCAUUCCUUCUGGGAACCAAUGUAGCAGAGCCAAUGGCCGUGCUUAGGCCUCCCAGAUGCCUUUGGGGGCAGAGCCUUGGGUCCCAUGGGCACAGGUGCAGUGGGAAACCUCUGAAAGCAGUGUGGGAAUCCACCAAGUGAGAGCCCCUCCCUGAUUCCAGGUGGCUUUUUCCCCCAAGGCAUUAUGUGUUAGACCGUCUUAGCCCUGAGUCAUCCUUCCAUCUCUUUAAGAUAAAAACAGAAGCUCUGAAGUUUGAUGGAGUCAAUAUAGGGGUGUUUCAGCAAAGCAGUGUUGGAGGUACCCCUGGGGAGGUGAAAUGAAGUUGCUUGGUACACGUUAGGGGCUCAGCAAUUACCUGUUGAAUAAAUGAAAGAAUGAAUUGUCUGUAA